RNAcentral lists this unclassified non-coding RNA (146 nucleotides) under uncultured Devriesia. RNAcentral's name for it is "sequence contains ITS2". The record is from RNAcentral. Lineage: Eukaryota; Fungi; Ascomycota; Dothideomycetes; Mycosphaerellales; Teratosphaeriaceae.
ACACCCCUCAAGCCUGGCUUGGUAUUUGGGCGUCGGGACUUUCCCCCGCGCCCCGAUUUCGCCGGCUGGACGACCCCGAUCUCUCAAGCGUUGUACAACUCUCGCUGGUAAGACGGGCGGCCACGCCGUUAACUCCUUAAUCAAAG